RNAcentral lists this ribosomal RNA (499 nucleotides) under uncultured bacterium. RNAcentral's name for it is "partial 16S ribosomal RNA". It matches the Rfam family "Bacterial small subunit ribosomal RNA", at positions 28 to 507 of the family's 1533-position model. The record is from RNAcentral.
GAUGAACGCUGGCGGCGUGCCUAAUACAUGCAAGUCGAGCGAACAGACGAGAGUGCUUGCACUCUCUGAUGUUAGCGGCGGACGGGUGAGUAACACGUGGGUAACCUACCUAUAAGACUGGGAUAACUUCGGGAAACCGGAGCUAAUACCGGAUAAUAUUUAUCUUCGCAUGAAGCAAUAGUGAAAGACGGUUCUGCUGUCACUUAUAGAUGGACCCGCGGUGUAUUAGCUAGUUGGUGAGGUAACGGCUCACCAAGGCAACGAUACAUAGCCGACCUGAGAGGGUGAUCGGCCACACGGGGACUGAGACACGGCCCAGACUCCUACGGGAGGCAGCAGUAGGGAAUCUUCCGCAAUGGACGAAAGUCUGACGGAGCAAUGCCGCGUGAGUGAAGAAGGUUUUCGGAUCGUAAAACUCUGUUGUAAGGGAAGAACAAGUACGUUAGUAACUGAACGUACCUUGACGGUACCUUACCAGAAAGCCACGGCUAACUACGUG